AUACGAGUUUGAUCCUGGCUCAGGAUGAACGCUAGCGGCAGGCUUAACACAUGCAAGUCGAGGGGCAGCGCGAUGUAGCAAUACAUUGGCGGCGACCGGCGCACGGGUGCGUAACACGUAUGGAACUUACCCUUUACUGGGAGAUAGCCCGGAGAAAUCCGGAUUAAUAUCCCAUAAUAAACGAAGUGGCAUCACUUUGUUUUGAAAGCUCCGGCGGUAAAGGAUGGCCAUGCGCACGAUUAGCUAGUAGGUGAGGUAACGGCUCACCUAGGCUACGAUCGUUAGGGGGCCUGAGAGGGUUAUCCCCCACACUGGUACUGAGACACGGACCAGACUCCUACGGGAGGCAGCAGUGAGGAAUAUUGCGCAAUGGAGGCAACUCUGACGCAGCCAUGCCGCGUGCAGGAAGAAGGCGCUACGCGUUGUAAACUGCUUUUAACCGGGAAGAAACCCUCCGACGUGUCGGAGGUUGACGGUACCGGAGGAAUAAGCACCGGCUAACUUCGUG
Molecule: ribosomal RNA, 508 nt
Filed under: uncultured bacterium
Lineage: Bacteria
Description: bacterial SSU rRNA
Rfam family: Bacterial small subunit ribosomal RNA
Source: RNAcentral